Dioscorea cayenensis subsp. rotundata (Guinea yam) is the source of this 107-nucleotide small nucleolar RNA. Lineage: Eukaryota; Viridiplantae; Streptophyta; Magnoliopsida; Dioscoreales; Dioscoreaceae. The record is from RefSeq and is a predicted model, not a curated record.
AAUCCAUGAUGAGGGCACUACCUGAGAAGAUCCUUAAACCUUUCAUAUGCCUCGAACAAUGUUUCUAACUCUCCUUGUUUAAAUAUUGAGAUUUCCUCUCUGAUCUU